RNAcentral lists this ribosomal RNA (510 nucleotides) under uncultured bacterium. Its description in RNAcentral is "bacterial SSU rRNA". It matches the Rfam family "Bacterial small subunit ribosomal RNA", at positions 15 to 518 of the family's 1533-position model. The record is from RNAcentral.
GAUUCUGGCUCAGGAUGAACGCUAGCGGCAGGCUUAACACAUGCAAGUCGAGGGGCAGCGCGAGUAGCAAUACUUGGCGGCGACCGGCGCAAGGGUGCGUAACGCGUGAGCAACAUGCCCGUAUCAGGGGGAUAAUCCAGGGAAACUUGGUCUAAUACCCCAUAGUAAUUUUGUAAGGCAUCUUAUAAGAUUUAAAGCUUUGGUGGAUACGGAUUGGCUCGCGUGACAUUAGCUGGAUGGUAAGGUAACGGCUUACCAUGGCUAUGAUGUCUAGGGGUUCUGAGAGGAAGGUCCCCCACACUGGAACUGAGACACGGUCCAGACUCCUACGGGAGGCAGCAGUGAGGAAUAUUGGACAAUGGAUGGAAAUCUGAUCCAGCCAUGCCGCGUGAAAAGGAAGAAGGUCCUAUGGAUUGUAAACUUCUUUUGUAUGGGAGCAAUAAGGCCUACGAGUAGGUUGAUGAGAGUACCAUACGAAUAAGCACCGGCUAACUCCGUGCCAGCCGCCGC